Molecule: long non-coding RNA, 225 nt
Filed under: Elaeis guineensis (African oil palm)
Lineage: Eukaryota; Viridiplantae; Streptophyta; Magnoliopsida; Arecales; Arecaceae
Description: long non-coding RNA (EGUI_LNC010893)
Source: RNAcentral
GUGCACAAAAAAUUUCUCUAACAUACAAAUAAUAAGGACAUGAAAAGUGCCAGGAAAAGAAGUGUAAUAAAUUGGGCCGAAUCUGAUUUGGCCCACGUUUACCGGGCUCAGACCACCUUUGGCAUGAGUUCUUUUCACGUACCAGUUGGAGAGAAAGACUCUCGAUGGAAGUCUUUUUCUCUAUCAAUCCCAAUGGAAAUAUGGAGAUUUAAGACAGCCGGAAAC